RNAcentral lists this ribosomal RNA (253 nucleotides) under uncultured bacterium. Its description in RNAcentral is "partial 16S ribosomal RNA". It matches the Rfam family "Bacterial small subunit ribosomal RNA", at positions 524 to 776 of the family's 1533-position model. The record is from RNAcentral.
UACGGGGGGGGCUAGCGUUGUUCGGAAUUACUGGGCGUAAAGGGCGCGUAGGCGGCCUACUAAGUCGGACGUGAAAUCCCUCGGCUCAACCGGGGAACUGCGUCCGAUACUGGUGGGCUCGAAUCCGGGAGAGGGAUGUGGAAUUCCAGGUGUAGCGGUGAAAUGCGUAGAUAUCUGGAGGAAUACCAGAGGCGAAGGCGGCUACCUGGACAAUUGCUGACGCUCAGGCACGAAAGCGUGGGGAGCAAAAGGG